RNAcentral lists this ribosomal RNA (223 nucleotides) under uncultured archaeon. Its description in RNAcentral is "partial 16S ribosomal RNA". It matches the Rfam family "Archaeal small subunit ribosomal RNA", at positions 67 to 285 of the family's 1478-position model. The record is from RNAcentral.
GCUCUGCGCGCACCGGCGGACGGCUCAGUAACACGUCGGUAACCUACCCUCGGGAGGGGGAUAACCCCGGGAAACUGGGGCUAAUCCCCCAUAGGCCUGGGGUACUGGAAGGUCCUCAGGCCGAAAGGGUCUCUGACCGCCCGAGGAUGGGCCGGCGGCCGAUUAGGUAGUUGGUGGGGUAACGGCCCACCAAGCCGAAGAUCGGUACGGGCCAUGAGAGUGG